This 601-nucleotide long non-coding RNA is filed under the name Salvia miltiorrhiza (redroot sage). Its description in RNAcentral is "long non-coding RNA (SMIL_LNC004849)". Lineage: Eukaryota; Viridiplantae; Streptophyta; Magnoliopsida; Lamiales; Lamiaceae. The record is from RNAcentral.
UCAGCUUCAAAUCAUAAACCAUCAACAGAUUUCUCCAUUUGCUCUUUUCACAAAAUAACUCAAAUCUGCCAUUUCUCACUGCACAUCAUCAAUCGGUAAUUUUAAUAACUUUUGUAAAGUUAUUUCAUUUCAAGCAUAUCAAUAGUUUUCUUCAUUUUCGCCAAAACCAAGGCUAAACAGCAAAAACUUUGUUUUCAAAAAUCCAAUCAUGCAUACAUCUAUUUUUCUGUAAUUUUAUAUAUAUUGCUAAUUACAUGAAAAAGAAAAUAGAAAUAGAAGAAGAAAAAGGGGAAAUAGUGGGUGAGUGGCUGCUGCCGAUCCGGGAAAACGAAAGGGAACCGACUGAAAAGCUGCGCCGUGCGCUGUUGCUGGCGGAGGGCGGCGACCGGCGGACGGAAUCAGGGGGAGUUGGCUAGUAGGCGUCGCUGGGCGCUGCCGCGCCACGGCGGCCGGCGAAGAUGGGCAGGGAGGCGGCGACGGCGGUUGGGCGGCACCAGAUCUGGAAAGGGGGAAGGCGGCCUGACCGACUGUUGCUGUCGACGCGGCGGCAGGGCACCAAGAGGGAGCCGAGAAGAGGAGGAGAAGGAUGGGGGGGUGGUCG